RNAcentral lists this ribosomal RNA (263 nucleotides) under uncultured archaeon. Its description in RNAcentral is "partial 16S ribosomal RNA". It matches the Rfam family "Archaeal small subunit ribosomal RNA", at positions 719 to 982 of the family's 1478-position model. The record is from RNAcentral.
AGACGUCUACAUUAGAUACCCGGUAGUCCCAGCCGUAAACUAUGCGCGUUAGGUGUAUCGGUGACCACGAGUCACCAAGGUGCCGAAGGGAAACCGUGAAACGUGCCGCCUGGGAAGUACGGUCGCAAGGCUGAAACUUAAAGGAAUUGGCGGGGAGCACCACAACGGGUGGAGCCUGCGGUUUAAUUGGACUCAACGCCGGGAAGCUCACCGGAUAAGACAGCGGAAUGAUUGCCGGGCUGAAGACUCUGCAUGACUAGCUG